Molecule: long non-coding RNA, 737 nt
Filed under: Cricetulus griseus (Chinese hamster)
Lineage: Eukaryota; Metazoa; Chordata; Mammalia; Rodentia; Cricetidae
Description: lncRNA (ENSCGRG00015041604.1)
Source: RNAcentral
CCCAGGCCGCGAGAACUGGAGCCCGUAAAAGAUCCAAAGGCCACGCUGAUUGGCUGAAGCGCGUCCAAUCCCUAGGCUCCGCCAAGAGAAGCACAGUCCUGCCCUGAUCGAUGAGGAGCCCUGGCUAGAGGCCUCCGCUGUGGUCACCUUCCCAGCACUGUGUCGCGUGUGUUCUCUCAGAGGGACACUGGUUUCCCUCUGUCUUUAACCCAUCUACCUGAGAAUUACUCCUGAUAUAUCCAAAGUCCAAGUCCAAGAGGUCAAGGCCCAGAAAGAGGGUGCUGAGUGGGACAAUGACAAACAGGAAGGAACGUCAUAAGGAAUCCUUAGGUAUCUGCUCUUUCUUCCUAGUAAGUACUUUAGCCUCUGCCUGGCCCUGCAGCUGAUUGGUACAAGUGCCACGUAAUUCCAGGGUGUGUUCUUUGUUGGAAUACACAGAAGUCACUAAAGCCUGGCACUCAGCUCCCUCUCUAUCCCUGUGAAACAUCCCUGUUCCCGCUCACCCUACUAACAGGGUAACCACUCCAACUGUACCCCCCUUCUUCCCCCACUCAUUUCCUGAGUUACUCUAAAUCCAGGAUUUCCUAAUGGGGAAAGAUGUGGAAAUAGCUGUUGUCUGGGAUCCAAACAGACAUUAAUCCUGUCUGUAAAGCAUCAAGACUGGCUACUGUGGUGUGAAGGUAUUCAACAGCCUAUUAAAUCACAUUGAAGAAAGUAGAGAAGUUGUGACAUUCUCC